UUGAAAACAUAUUCUUCGUGGUCCUAAAUCUUUGCAACACGAAAUACUGCUCAGGCUUCAGCAAAAAGACUGCGAUUAGACUGGAGCGGCGAUACCCUUGCACGGAUUUGACUACCUUCAAAGGUUUCAGAAAGCCCCUUGAGUCGCUCAUCUAAAAAGAAUAUGACAUUUGGUUUCACAAUGUUUAAGUUGUAAAAAGCAUUGAUUGCCUUGUUCCAAGGCGGUAAUCGUGGAAUGCGGUUUUGAACAUUUUCUCCUUUUAAAUCAAUAUAAUCAAAUAAUUCUUUCACAAAUGAAAAGCUCGGGUCCAAAAAGUAUAAGCUCAUCUAAAAAGAAGUAAAACAAAAUGGAUAAGGGAACAUGGAAAAGAAAGGCUAUACAAAACCACAACAAUUGUCAACGAAAAGGUUGCCUCAAUAAUGUUGAAACUAGGACAAAACCAACAAUGAAAGCUCGACCAUAAAUAUUGGAAAGCUUGUAUCAACCUGAAAAAUCAAAUACCAAAUAGCUCAUUUUUGAAAAAUAGAAACCAGAUAGAAAGGAAGCAAAAUGAAAUCAAAAUUGUAAGAAAUUGAAAUAUUGUCCUGAUGGAAAACAAAAAAAAUCUCAUGUAAAACAAAAACAGUCUUCAACUUUUUGAAUAAAGGAACCACAAGAAAAUGAAAAGAUCGAGUCAAUAAGGAUUGCAUGUUCGUACUUGGAAAAAUUAAAGCUUAUGCAUCACAUAAAAUUGAAGCCUUGUAACAAGGAACAUAGAGAAGUUCAAAAGUAUCAUCUCAAAAAAAAAUAUGGAAAGGUAAAACUGAAUAACCACAUGUAAAAUAUAAGGGUAGCACCAAACAAAACAAUGUCUUAAAAAUUAUAUGAAAAUCUCAGCUUGAAAGAAAUUGAAAAUAGCUUUCAUUUAGCAGAUCUAAAAUGAAAGUUGGGUCAGUAGAAAUGCAAGAACUUCUUUGACAAAUGAAAAGCUUAGGGAAAAAAUGAGCAGGUCGAAAAUAAAGUAAAAAUAAUUCGAUGAGGGAGCAUGGGAAAGAAAAGCUAUAAUAAAACUCAAAAGAUAAAAUGAAAGAUGUCUCGAUAAUGUUGAAAACCAAAACAAAAAAACAAAACAAAGAAAAUCAAAGCUCAAAAGCAAGAAAGUGGAAAGGUUCUAUCAAACUUAAAAUACAUAGCUCAUUUCAGAAAUCGAAACCAAAAAGGAAGUAACUCGGAUGAAAUCAAAAGAUUCUAAGAAAUUGAAAUAGUAAUGCCCCUAAAAACAAAAACAACCAAAAAGGAAAUGAAAAUCUCAAGUUAAUAAGGAUUCAUGGUCGUACUUUGUAAAAAAUGAAAGCCUAUGCACGGAUAAAAUAAAUUAAAGAGCUAAAAUGUCAAUAAGUAGGCUCAAAAUCAUCAAGCUAAAAUAAAUUAAAGACCGUAACAAACCUCAAGCUUGACAUAAAUUGAAGUACCAAAACAUCAUGUCAAUAAAUAAUCUCAAAGCUAAUUUGUUAUACUUGAAAUGCAAUUUGUAAAAUAUAAGGUAGCAAUAAAAUAAAGAUUAUCUAAAAAUGGAAAUUUUAUCUUGGAAGAAAUUGAAUAACAUUUUUCAUUUAAGGCUGAUCUAAAAUGAAAAUCUCAAGUGAAAAAAAUUGCCAGCAGUUCUUUUGAAAAUUGAAAUGCUUAAGUACAAAAAUAGAAGUCCAUCUUAAAAGAAAUAAAAAAUUUGGAUGAGGGAACAUGGGAAAGAAAAACGAUAUAACGAUGUAUCUUGAUUUUGGAAAGCAUGUUUCUGGGAGAGAAGGUAUGUAAUGUGUGUGUUUGAGGAAACAAUGGGCAUUGUAAGUUGAGAAAAGAGAAUUUAUGUGAACCUAUAACAAAAAAGAAUUUGGAACUGUUAGCUCAACAAGUACUAUCUACAUUGUAUACAAAAUGUGUAUACUAAUCUUCGGUAUAACAGAGGGAGGAUUCACAUAAACUUUUCAUAAGGUAUCAGCUUUAAAAGAGGCAUUUCGUUAAACUAUAAGUAAUCAAAAGAUUUGUUAACUUUCUGAAAAAUAAUGUUCCCUACAAAUGGCCUUCCAUACACAAGCGUAUUAAAUAAAGUUUGAAAACAAAAAUGUCAAUUCUAUUUUCACAAAUAGAAUUCCACCAAAACACAAAAUCUAACCAUGGAAAGAAAAAUAAUAACAAAGUAUUUGCUUAUGCUUGAUAAAAAUAUAAAAUAAAAAACAGUAAAAAUAGUUAUACCUUGCCAUGCAUGAUAUCGGCAACACCGCUUUCUAGUUUUUCAUCGCCGCAGCUCGAUACCCCCAUAAACC
This 2300-nucleotide long non-coding RNA is filed under the name Brachypodium distachyon (stiff brome). RNAcentral describes it as "long non-coding RNA (BDIS_LNC005481)". The record is from RNAcentral. Lineage: Eukaryota; Viridiplantae; Streptophyta; Magnoliopsida; Poales; Poaceae.